GGGUGCGAUUAUACAAGCACUAAUGCACCGCAUCCCAUCAGAACUCCACAGUUAAACAUGCUUGGGCGAGAGUAGUACUAGGAUGGGUGACCUCCUCGGAAGUCCUUAUGUUGCACCCC
Non-coding RNA from Populus trichocarpa (black cottonwood), 119 nucleotides. NCBI's taxonomy places the organism in Eukaryota, Viridiplantae, Streptophyta, Magnoliopsida, Malpighiales, Salicaceae. The record is from Rfam.